Molecule: ribosomal RNA, 1346 nt
Filed under: uncultured bacterium
Lineage: Bacteria
Description: partial 16S ribosomal RNA
Rfam family: Bacterial small subunit ribosomal RNA
Source: RNAcentral
GACGAACGCUGGCGGCGUGCUUAACACAUGCAAGUCGAACGGAAAGGCCCUGCUUUUGUGGGGUGCUCGAGUGGCGAACGGGUGAGUAACACGUGAGUAACCUGCCCUUGACUUUGGGAUAACUUCAGGAAACUGGGGCUAAUACCGGAUAGGAGCUCCUGCUGCAUGGUGGGGGUCGGAAAGUUUCGGCGGUUGGGGAUGGACUCGCGGCUUAUCAGCUUGUUGGUGGGGUAGUGGCUUACCAAGGCUUUGACGGGUAGCCGGCCUGAGAGGGUGACCGGCCACAUUGGGACUGAGAUACGGCCCAGACUCCUACGGGAGGCAGCAGUGGGGAAUAUUGCACAAUGGGCGGAAGCCUGAUGCAGCAACGCCGCGUGCGGGAUGACGGCCUUCGGGUUGUAAACCGCUUUCGCCUGUGACGAAGCGUGAGUGACGGUAAUGGGUAAAGAAGCACCGGCUAACUACGUGCCAGCAGCCGCGGUGAUACGUAGGGUGCGAGCGUUGUCCGGAUUUAUUGGGCGUAAAGGGCUCGUAGGUGGUUGAUCGCGUCGGAAGUGUAAUCUUGGGGCUUAACCCUGAGCGUGCUUUCGAUACGGGUUGACUUGAGGAAGGUAGGGGAGAAUGGAAUUCCUGGUGGAGCGGUGGAAUGCGCAGAUAUCAGGAGGAACACCAGUGGCGAAGGCGGUUCUCUGGGCCUUUCCUGACGCUGAGGAGCGAAAGCGUGGGGAGCGAACAGGCUUAGAUACCCUGGUAGUCCACGCUGUAAACGGUGGGUACUAGGUGUGGGGUCCAUUCCACGGGUUCCGUGCCGUAGCUAACGCUUUAAGUACCCCGCCUGGGGAGUACGGCCGCAAGGCUAAAACUCAAAGGAAUUGACGGGGCCCCGCACAAGCGGCGGAGCAUGCGGAUUAAUUCGAUGCAACGCGUAGAACCUUACCUGGGUUUGACAUGGAUCGGGAGUGCUCAGAGAUGGGUGUGCCUCUUUUGGGGUCGGUUCACAGGUGGUGCAUGGCUGUCGUCAGCUCGUGUCGUGAGAUGUUGGGUUAAGUCCCGCAACGAGCGCAACCCUUGUUCACUGUUGCCAGCACGUUAUGGUGGGGACUCAGUGGAGACCGCCGGGGUCAACUCGGAGGAGGGUGGGGAUGACGUCAAGUCAUCAUGCCCCUUAUGUCCAGGGCUUCACGCAUGCUACAAUGGCUGGUACAGAGAGUGGCGAGCCUGUGAGGGUGAGCGAAUCUCGGAAAGCCGGUCUCAGUUCGGAUUGGGGUCUGCAACUCGACCUCAUGAAGUCGGAGUCGCUAGUAAUCGCAGAUCAGCAACGCUGCGGUGAAUACGUUCCCGGGGCU